CUGGAGCUUGCUCCGGCGGAUUAGUGGCGAACGGGUGAGUAACACGUGAGCAAUCUGCCCUUGACUCUGGGAUAACUGCGGGAAACUGUAGCUAAUACCGGAUACUUUCCUCGGUGGGCAUCCACUGAGGAAGAAAGAAUUUCGGUCAAGGAUGAGCUCGCGACCUAUCAGCUAGUUGGUGAGGUAAAGGCUCACCAAGGCGACGACGGGUAGCCGGCCUGAGAGGGUGACCGGCCACACUGGGACUGAGACACGGCCCAGACUCCUACGGGAGGCAGCAGUGGGGAAUAUUGCACAAUGGACGAAAGUCUGAUGCAGCAACGCCGCGUGAGGGACGAAGGCCUUCGGGUUGUAAACCUCUUUUAGCAGGGAAGAAGCGAAAGUGACGGUACCUGCAGAAAAAGCACCGGCUAACUACGUGCCAGCAGCCGCGGUAAUACGUAGGGUGCAAGCGUUGUCCGGAAUUAUUGGGCGUAAAGAGCUCG
Molecule: ribosomal RNA, 485 nt
Filed under: uncultured Actinomycetes bacterium
Lineage: Bacteria; Bacillati; Actinomycetota; Actinomycetes
Description: bacterial SSU rRNA
Rfam family: Bacterial small subunit ribosomal RNA
Source: RNAcentral